RNAcentral lists this ribosomal RNA (253 nucleotides) under uncultured bacterium. Its description in RNAcentral is "partial 16S ribosomal RNA". It matches the Rfam family "Bacterial small subunit ribosomal RNA", at positions 524 to 776 of the family's 1533-position model. The record is from RNAcentral.
UACGAAGGGGGCUAGCGUUGCUCGGAAUCACUGGGCGUAAAGCGCACGUAGGCGGAUUGCUAAGUCAGGGGUGAAAUCCUGGAGCUCAACUCCAGAACUGCCUUUGAUACUGGCGAUCUCGAGUCCGGGAGAGGUGAGUGGAACUGCGAGUGUAGAGGUGAAAUUCGUAGAUAUUCGCAAGAACACCAGUGGCGAAGGCGGCUCACUGGCCCGGUACUGACGCUGAGGUGCGAAAGCGUGGGGAGCAAACCGG